This is a non-coding RNA of Parelaphostrongylus tenuis, 76 nucleotides long. The record is from the annotation of a GenBank genome assembly. Lineage: Eukaryota; Metazoa; Nematoda; Chromadorea; Rhabditida; Metastrongylidae.
GGCGUCAAUAGUGUAACGGAUAGAGCACGCUCUCCCGGAAAGCGAGAGGCGCUGGUUCUAGUCCAGCCUGACGCCU